This 450-nucleotide ribosomal RNA is filed under the name uncultured bacterium. RNAcentral's name for it is "bacterial SSU rRNA". It matches the Rfam family "Bacterial small subunit ribosomal RNA", at positions 354 to 796 of the family's 1533-position model. The record is from RNAcentral.
GUGGGGAAUUUUGGACAAUGGGGGAAACCCUGAUCCAGCCAUGCCGCGUGCGGGAAGAAGGCCUUCGGGUUGUAAACCGCUUUUGUCCGGGAAGAAAUGACCUCCCCUAAUACGGGGGGUUCCUGACGGUACCGGAAGAAUAAGCACCGGCUAACUACGUGCCAGCAGCCGCGGUAAUACGUAGGGUGCGAGCGUUAAUCGGAAUUACUGGGCGUAAAGCGUGCGCAGGCGGUUCGCUAAGUCUGAUGUGAAAGCCCCGGGCUCAACCUGGGAAUGGCAUUGGAAACUGGCGGGCUUGAGUGUGGCAGAGGGGGGUGGAAUUCCACGUGUAGCAGUGAAAUGCGUAGAGAUGUGGAGGAACACCGAUGGCGAAGGCAGCCCCCUGGGCUAACACUGACGCUCAGGCACGAAAGCGUGGGGAGCAAACAGGAUUAGAAACCCUAGUAGUCC